GCUGACAUAAGUAACGAUAAAGCGGGUGAAAAGCCCGCUCGCCGGAAGACCAAGGGUUCCUGUCCAACGUUAAUCGGGGCAGGGUGAGUCGACCCCUAAGGCGAGGCCGAAAGGCGUAGUCGAUGGGAAACAGGUUAAUAUUCCUGUACUUGGUGUUACUGCGAAGGGGGGACGGAGAAGGCUAUGUUAGCCGGGCGACGGUUGUCCCGGUUUAAGCAUGUAGGCUGGUUAUCCAGGCAAAUCCGGAUAAUCAAGGCUGAGGUGUGAUGACGAGGCACUACGGUGCUGAAGUAACAAAUGCCCUGCUUCCAGGAAAAGCCUCUAAGCAUCAGGUAACAUCAAAUCGUACCCCAAACCGACACAGGUGGUCAGGUAGAGAAUACCAAGGCGCUUGAGAGAACUCGGGUGAAGGAACUAGGCAAAAUGGUGCCGUAACUUCGGGAGAAGGCACGCUGGUGUGUAGGUGAAGUCCCUGCGGAUGGAGCUGAGACCAGUCGAAGAUACCAGCUGGCUGCAACUGUUUAUUAAAAACACAGCACUGUGCAAACACGAAAGUGGACGUAUACGGUGUGACGCCUGCCCGGUGCCGGAAGGUUAAUUGAUGGGGUUAUCCGUAAGGAGAAGCUCUUGAUCGAAGCCCCGGUAAACGGCGGCCGUAACUAUAACGGUCCUAAGGUAGCGAAAUUCCUUGUCGGGUAAGUUCCGACCUGCACGAAUGGCGUAAUGAUGGCCAGGCUGUCUCCACCCGAGACUCAGUGAAAUUGAACUCGCUGUGAAGAUGCAGUGUACCCGCGGCAAGACGGAAAGACCCCGUGAACCUUUACUAUAGCUUGACACUGAACAUUGAGCCUUGAUGUGUAGGAUAGGUGGGAGGCUUUGAAGCGUGGACGCCAGUCUGCGUGGAGCCAACCUUGAAAUACCACCCUUUAAUGUUUGAUGUUCUAACGUUGGCCCCUGACCGGGGUUGCGGACAGUGUCUGGUGGGUAGUUUGACUGGGGCGGUCUCCUCCCAAAGCGUAACGGAGGAGCACGAAGGUUAGCUAAUCCUGGUCGGACAUCAGGAGGUUAGUGCAAUGGCAUAAGCUAGCUUGACUGCGAGCGUGACGGCGCGAGCAGGUGCGAAAGCAGGUCAUAGUGAUCCGGUGGUUCUGAAUGGAAGGGCCAUCGCUCAACGGAUAAAAGGUACUCCGGGGAUAACAGGCUGAUACCGCCCAAGAGUUCAUAUCGACGGCGGUGUUUGGCACCUCGAUGUCGGCUCAUCACAUCCUGGGGCUGAAGUAGGUCCCAAGGGUAUGGCUGUUCGCCAUUUAAAGUGGUACGCGAGCUGGGUUUAGAACGUCGUGAGACAGUUCGGUCCCUAUCUGCCGUGGGCGCUGGAGAAUUGAGGGGGGCUGCUCCUAGUACGAGAGGACCGGAGUGGACGCAUCACUGGUGUUCGGGUUGUCAUGCCAAUGGCACUGCCCGGUAGCUAAAUGCGGAAGAGAUAAGUGCUGAAAGCAUCUAAGCACGAAACUUGCCCCGAGAUGAGUUCUCCCUGAGACUUUAAGUCUCCUGAAGGAACGUUAAAGACGAUGACGUUGAUAGGCCGGGUGUGUAAGCGCAGCGAUGCGUUGAGCUAACCGGUACUAAUGAACCGUGAGGCUUAACCUU
Molecule: ribosomal RNA, 1650 nt
Filed under: Klebsiella pneumoniae
Lineage: Bacteria; Pseudomonadati; Pseudomonadota; Gammaproteobacteria; Enterobacterales; Enterobacteriaceae
Description: bacterial LSU rRNA
Rfam family: Bacterial large subunit ribosomal RNA
Source: RNAcentral